GGGGAAUAUUGGGCAAUGGGCGAAAGCCUGACCCAGCAACGCCGCGUGAGGGAAGAAGGUCUUCGGAUUGUAAACCUUUGUCCUAUGGGACGAAACAAAUGACGGUACCAUAGGAGGAAGCUCCGGCUAACUACGUGCCAGCAGCCGCGGUAAUACGUAGGGAGCAAGCGUUGUCCGGAAUUACUGGGCGUAAAGGGUGCGUAGGUGGCCAAAUAAGUCAGGUGUGAAAGACCGGGGCUCAACCCCGGGGUUGCACUUGAAACUGUAUGGCUUGAGUACAGGAGAGGGAAGUGGAAUUCCUAGUGUAGCGGUGAAAUGCGUAGAUAUUAGGAGGAACACCAGUGGCGAAGGCGACUUUCUGGACUGUAACUGACACUGAGGCACGAAAGCGUGGGGAGCAAAC
Molecule: ribosomal RNA, 403 nt
Filed under: uncultured bacterium
Lineage: Bacteria
Description: bacterial SSU rRNA
Rfam family: Bacterial small subunit ribosomal RNA
Source: RNAcentral